UUGUAGGUUUACAAGUCUGCGGGAGGAUAUUAAAGGGCCUGGUGUGUCCCAGUCCAUAACUCAUUUGGAAAGGAGAACCUUGCGGACCGAGUGUCCCAAACGGGAUUGGCUCGCUGAGACCUCAGUGGACACGAGAAGCCGCGAAGAUCUGCCCGUUCCCGCGAUUAAUUGUCCUGACAACUUGAGAGGUUCUCCCGCUUUUGGUUUCACGCAUAUUCGGGGUGUUUUUCCCUGUAAAGUUUGCCACUGAUAUUGUGUCCCUUUUCUGUGCUACGGCUAUCCAAGGGAUCAGUUCCCACGUGAUGCUGAAGCCGCUGAUCCCGGUACCACUGUAGAGAAUCACUGCUACACAAUUCCUGCCUCACCACUCCCUUUCUAUACACGUGGGGAGAAGAUCUCCCACAAAGAUCCCAAACACACUGCUCGGGCUCUCAAUGCCAAGGUAGUUUCACCUCUUUUAAAGGGCCUUUCAGGCAAGGAUCUCAAGUGGAAUGCUCUUUAACUAUACCCUGCAUGGGAAACCUUGGGAAUAUUUUAAAGUGCUCACUUAAGGCCUAUUGGAAAGCAUCUUUAGUAUAGAUUUCACAGUAUGGUUUUAAGAAGAAAUGAGGUACUGUAGAAUUUUCAAUCUCAGGGGUAUCAUAUUCAUGGGGGUUUGACGGGUAUUGAAUAUUUAUUAGUUAUUUCAUGUGAAGCUUAAAAUGUAUA
Long non-coding RNA from Mustela erminea (ermine), 708 nucleotides. RefSeq lists it as uncharacterized. The transcript is spliced from 3 exons. Lineage: Eukaryota; Metazoa; Chordata; Mammalia; Carnivora; Mustelidae. The record is from RefSeq and is a predicted model, not a curated record.